CGGAACGGGUGAGUAACGCGUGAGGAACCUGCCUCAAAGAGGGGACAACAGUUGGAAACGACUGCUAAUACCGCAUAAGCCCACGGGUCGGCAUCGACCAGAGGGAAAAGGAGCAAUCCGCUUUGAGAUGGCCUCGCGUCCGAUUAGCUAGUUGGUGAGGUAACGGCCCACCAAGGCGACGAUCGGUAGCCGGACUGAGAGGUUGAACGGCCACAUUGGGACUGAGACACGGCCCAG
RNAcentral lists this ribosomal RNA (237 nucleotides) under uncultured bacterium. RNAcentral describes it as "partial 16S ribosomal RNA". It matches the Rfam family "Bacterial small subunit ribosomal RNA", at positions 100 to 334 of the family's 1533-position model. The record is from RNAcentral.